CAAGUGGCCCGCGGUGGAGGGAUGGCUGUCUGUAACUCAUUACCAGCAAGUUCUGCUUGAACUUUUUUAUCUUAAAAAGGAGAACCUGGUGCUGAUCGGAAGCCCGGGGCGGAGCUCCGAGCCCCAGUGUCACAACACAAAGGCUACCCCAAGGUGCUCGCCCAAGGCUGGGUCCAGGAGCCCUGCUGUGGAGCUGCUGCUUCUGUCUUGGCUCUGGAGGCGGCUCCGUGCCUCCUCUGUGUGUUUGUCUUCUCCUGGAUCGUACUUUUUUUAUUCCACUCCUCUUCUUUUCACCUUGAAUAUGAACUUUCCUCACACAAGACCGACCCACAGCAAAUUUUUCAAGUUAUUGAACAGAUUUUUUUUCCAAUGGAGGAUUAAGAAUGAGUUUUUCUGACAUGUCUUUCCUAACGGUACCCUUUAAGCUUCUUGCCCCAGGCAGUUCAUUUGCCUACAGAGAAGAUUAGCGAUGCUGUAGAAGGACACAAAUAAAACCUUCCAGCCAUGCACAGCAGGAUGGAGGGUGCAGGCCUGACAUCCCAGGACCUCUGACUCAGAGAUGGGAGGAACCAGAGUGGGGGAUCCUCAGGUACACACAGGCCAGCAGAGCAAAGCUGUAAGGAGGGGACCGGCGUUCCGCUCCUGGGACAAGGAUGGCAGCAGGUUUUCACUGAUUUGCUGGGUGGGUGGUGUCUGGUAAUCCCACUGGCCGGAGGUGCAUGUCCACAUGCUUCUUGCGAUGGGUUUAGACCACUGCCUGGUCAUGGCCGGCCCAGUUUGGAGGCUGCUGGAUUUCAAUGGGUCUGGUGCCUUCCUUUAUCUUGUGCAAAGCAUCCCGGCCUUGUGAGUCUGGGCCCUGGGUUAGACAGGCCCAAGGCUGCAGGUGCUUGGGUUUCAGGGGCCUCUGAUGGAGGAAAAGGGUGAGGCAGAAAAGAGGGACAGAAGAAGAAGCACACAGCUCCGAUGGGCAAGAGGCCAGUUAGCCCUGGGUUACAGCCUUGGGCCACUUUUCAGGGACCCACCUGUCUAGCGCAGAGCUGAGUGGACGGCUGACCCAGAGUUAAGACAGCAAAUGGCACAAACACAAUGUGAAGACAGAGAUGCCACGCUUUUAUCCUACUUCAGUCACCUAGAAGACUUUUGUAGGCUCAAGCAAAGGGCCAGGGCUUCCAGCAAAGGGGCCUUCAGGUCCCCAGGAAGUAAGCAGGGAACUCAUCAAGACCCCGUAUCCAAGUUGCCAUGGACAACAAGCCUAGUGGGGCACAAAUAAGGUACUGCUGAGCUGUGUGACAGCCAGUUAGCGGUUUUUAAGCAGACCUCGAGCAAGUGAGGCUGGAGGCAUUACGCAGGCCAGGGGUGGCCAACGCACAGCGCGCUGCUGCAGCCGGCUAUUCAUUAUCCCUGAAAGCUCAAAAAGGGUCCCUUCGUGGAUCGCCUUUCCUUGUGAAUCCCUUCUCGUUUCAUGCCAGCAUUACGCUCUGUGGCUUUAAUCAGGACCUCAUGACCACUCUGUUGGAACACGCCAUGCCCAAAGGUUUAUUCUGCCCUCCCCAUCUGUGUCCCACUGCGGUGGUCCGUGUCUCCGGCCCAGCCGCUUUGUGGAUAAUGCAUGCCCUUUGCCUUCUCUUUUGGUGGCUGCUACCCAAGCCCAGGGAUGCAUCCCCAGGUCUCCUGCCAUGCAGUGUCUUCUGCGCCGGACAGCACAGAGUAAGGGAAUGGCAGGUGUGGUCAUCACUCGUGGGACACUGCCCACCUGAGUGGAUUAAGAGGCACCUAGCAGAUUGGCAAAGCAAGCUCUGGGCGUGUCUGUGGAUGAUUGACAUGUAGGCCAGCAAACUAGGGGGGAAGACCUACGCCGGAUGUAGGGCUACUAACCAAUAGGCUCGAAGCCUGGGUGGGAUGCAGAGGGAGAAGGAAGAAGCGUGCCUGAUUCGGAGCCCUCCAGACUCCUGAGCCGGUCUGUCCUUUGCCACCUGGUGACUGGACGCUGGCCUCAAGGGAUCCGGUGUCUUCAGUCUUCCAGGGCAGGCUCGAGCUGGUGACCUCCGGAGAGCUCCCAAGACCCCAGCGUUGGCCUGCGCGGGUCUUCACCCCUGUGGUCCCGCAGCUCUGGGUCCCUGGCUCCUGGGUGCACGGGCGACCACAGAAACCCAUCUGGCCGACCCCUCGCCUGGCUGCAGACUCCGGGUCGGUCCUGUUCUUCAGAGAAGCCCUACUACCUCAGUGCCCGCUUAAUAGAAAAACGCGGAGGGGCCGGGAAAGGAAGGGGCGAGGGAGGCAGCGCGGGACCCUGUGCCCAGAGAGGGGUGAAUUUGACCCUGACGACACUGAGCCUUCUGCACCUUUGGGCAGCAGCUUCCUCUGAGGUCCCCGCCCCGGCCUGGACGAGGCCUGCAAAGCGCACAGGCCGCGCCCGGGGCAGGAGAGUGGCCGGGCCUGGCUCCUCCUGUGCCUGGGUCUGGGUCCUGGGCCUGGAACCUGGGUCCUGGGUCCCUGGGAUGGACGCUUACAGCCUCCCUGCGCAGUGAGGGGACUGGGACUGGACGGGACUGGACCCCGGAGACGGUGCUGCUUGGGCCGCACAGGGGGAGGCAGCGGAACCCAGAGGGAGCGCAGGCCGGCGGGAGACUGGGUGUCCGGGAUGCGCGUUCUGCGCAGACAGCACAGCGAGAGGAGCUGUCCUCAGGGCCCGGCCGGCGGUCGCCGCCCACUUCCGGCUCCCAAGCAGCUGCCCUCUUCCGGGAGUAAGCAAGCGCGCCACGUCAGGUCGGAACACGCUCUGCACCAGACCGACGUGUAACUAGUGCUCCCCAGGCCUGGUCCCAGUGAACGAUUCACCAGAACAGUAAUCACAGAAAUAUGUGAACUUGCCGAAGGAAAUGUAGGAGCUGCAGGACAAAUGUUUGCCCCUUUAGGGUGAGAUGCUCUGUGCUGCAGUUUGGGCAUCAGCCCCAAACACUUCGGAGCCAAGGGCGACUGUCCUCCGGGAGGAAAAGGAAAAGAACUGAGCGGGAUUUCCAGGAGCGCCCUGAGUCUGAUGGGUGAAGACAGUGCCACCGGGAGCUCUGUAGAAUACACCAGGAAACUAACAAUUUACAAAAGUAAAGAAGUGCUUCUCGCCUUUAUUUUUCAGGGAUUAAUCCUGGGUAGUUGUAGUUUAUUUUCUUCUCUUACGGGUUUUUCAUGAAUGCGUUUUUCUAGUUUGCAUGUAACAACAGUUCAUUUUUACUAGAUGUUUUUAGUUAUUUAGAAUGUUCUUUCGUUUCCUUAAUAAACACAGAUGAGUAAAGAAAGUAUUCCAGAACCAAACGUUUGUGGGAUAUGAAAUAAAUAGAAGUCUUUAUCUGUUCCUGGGAUUUCAAAUUGAUUCAUCAAGUUGGUCCGUUAUUUGACAUUAAUCUGAGAUUACAGUUGUGUGUAUUCUAUAACCUGGCAUUUCCAGUCAAAUAUAUAUUUAGUGAAAUACCCAUUACAGGUGUGCAUAAGAUAGCACACACUUGACUGUUCGGAAGCGUGGUUUACAGUAUAAAAGGAAAAUGAAAGCAAACAAUCUACAUAUUGAAGAAUUAGGUAACUCAUAUCUUAAAAACAAUGUUGCCUAAUAUGAUAAUGGAAAUGGCUAUAGUACUUGUAUCAUUUAAAAAUAAAUCUAGGUGAAUGAUACACAAAUUAAGGAUUGAAUAUUUAGUAAAAGAUGAAAAAAACCCAGCUUAUUUGUCACAGCUGAGCAAAAGAAGAGGGCUGCAAUUUCAGAGAAUUCAGGAGACUUCCAAAGAGGCGCUAAUUUAAUUUCUUAGACUCAGUAGUAUGUAUAAAUAUAUUAUUUUAUACAUUUUAAACUAUGUGCAUAUGUUUACAGGUCAUAUACAUUUGAUAUACAUAGUAUAUGCCGUUUUGUAAAUAUAUACUUUUAUAGCAUUUUAAAAAUAAAAUUAAAAAAAUAGGAGUUGCAUCAUUACAAAUUUCACUUCGAAUAUCAAUUCAGCCACCUUUGGGGUGUGUGAAUUUGAGCAGUUAUUAACCAUCAUGAGCCUCUGCUUCCAAAUUUCUAAGUAAUAAAUGCUUAAUUUAAAAAGUAAAACAUUAAUGAAACAAUCGUACCCACUAGAUAAAUACUCAUUUUCCCUCCACUCUCAGUCAGCCAGUAACUCCUGGGGGUGGGUUCUGUGAGUGAGAUAUAGUCAGUUGAACAAUUGGACAUUUUUCUUUUCUAAUAUUCCCAUUUCCUUAACAAUUGUUAACAGGAAAGUGGUCAGGCUUGGCAGUGGGGCAGUGGAAUUGCUGAAGAGUUUGCUUCCGCCAGCCACAGAUGGGCUGGAUGUGGGAGAGAGCACUGCAGUCUCCCCAGACAUCAAAUCUUUCUCCUCGAGACCUGCUCAUCAAAUAUUGUUCUCUUUGCAGUAAUUUAAGCUUUCUUGUUCUGGUUAUGGUGAGAGAAUUUAAUUUAGAUGGAAAUUUACUCUUUUGAGCAAUUGGCUUUCCACUCAUCCCUAUUAAGGCCUUAGACAAAGUCUUUUAGGUCCAACUUGCCCUGGGUAAUAUUUCCACCACUUACCUCAAGCAGUCUGUGCCUUCAAUGCUUCAGGUAAAAUGGGUUAAAUACACAGCCUUUGUCAAAGUGAAACUGAAAAUGAGAGUGUGUUCCCUUACAGGUUUUAAAGAUACCUCUUGGCAUACUUCAAGUGGGACAAACAGCUAAAACUGUCUAUGAUUCACUAGGUGUUAAAUUGACAUUUUUUUAUAAUAAAAUGAGCUUUCCCCAUAGUUUAUGUGGCUUAUUUUUUUUUCUUUUCUAUAGUACCUGACAUUAGAUAUUUCAUGACACAAAUAUUUGGACCUCUCUAGCUCUCUGUUUGUAAGUAAUGGCAGGUGAUGUUGUUUUGCUUUGAUCUUGUUAUUUUGCUAGUGGAGCCUGCAGCAGUGUUCAAAUGUGUCCUUGCCCAUUGUAAGAUGCCAUCCCAUUUACAAAUUUCAGAGUACUUCAUAGUCUGUGUGCUCCUUAUUUACCUUCAGAAGUUUAUGUUCUUCUAUAAUAUUGUCCUUUGUACUCGAAUGAUAGAGUCGUGCGUAUUUAUGUGUGUGCUUAGGCAGAACUAUCCUUUUCCAUGAUAUGAUAAGCAUAUCUUGCCUUAUAGACACAGCUUUAUUUACAAUUCUACAUUUCAGUGACCUUCAUUAAUGAAAGCAAAUGAUGAUAAAAUAAUCUAAGACCAACAGGCGAUUGGUUGUCAAUUCAUCACUAAGAAAGCAGGAAGACUGUUAGCCAACAUCAAGCAUUUAGUGGUAACAGAAGUAGGAUCUAAUUAUAUGAUCCCUGAACCUCUCACUUUUCACAGGGUCCUAUGAUCACUGAUAAAUCCUAAAUUGGUUUUGCAAUUUGCAAUAGUCUGUGUAAAACAUGUAAUGUUUGUUUGUCUUUCCUCCGUGAGUAAAUUAUUCUUCCUGUCAAGGAUCUUGGGCUGAAGCUAUCUAAGUGAACCUUCAUGGCACUGCAACUUCCAUCAGUAAGAAGCAUAUAAAUUCUACUCAGAAAACAUAAAAAUCCUCUGUAAUAAUUUUUGUAAACUUGUUUUGUGCUAGGACACCUAUUUUGGUGAAAAGCAUUAAUAUUGUUAUUUAAAGUCAGUUAAGUUUCAGUAAGAAAAAUAAUGAGUUAAGCUCUUCAGAAUUCCCAGACUGGGGAUUUUAUCAGUACUCAUGAUUGUAUGCUUAUAAAUACUGUGUAAUAGAACUAAAUACUAAAGGCAUUAUAUGAAAUAAUUGUAAUGUUGGUAAUGCUAGAACAAAAAUUAAAACCACCCUGUGUAUCAGAGAAUGUCAUCCCCUUGUCAAGUAAACUUUUUUCAUUUCAAAACUGAA
Non-coding RNA from Heterocephalus glaber (naked mole-rat), 5859 nucleotides. NCBI's taxonomy places the organism in Eukaryota, Metazoa, Chordata, Mammalia, Rodentia, Bathyergidae. The record is from RefSeq and is a predicted model, not a curated record.